AGGGCGCACAGUCAGUGGGGGUAGACGCGAAACCAAGUGAUCUACACUUGGCCAGGAUGAAGUCCCGGUAACACGGGAUGGAGGUCCGCACCAAUAAGCGUUGAAAAGCUUCUGGAUGAGCCGAGUGUAGGAGUGAAAGGCCAAUCAAACUUGGAGAUAGCUCGUACUCCCCGAAAGGCAUUUAGGUGCCGCGUCGGAUGGUCACCGUGAGAGGUAGAGCGACCGAUAGGACAAGAGGGCUUCACCGCCUAUCGAGUCCUGACGAACUCCGAAUGCUCACGGUCUGCAGUCCGGCAGUAAGGGGGCGGGUGCUAAGGUCCGUCCCCGAGAGGAGAAGAAUCCAGACCGCCGUCUAAGGUCCCGGAGUUCUGCCUGAGUUAGUCUAACGAAGUCUGGUCCCUAUGACAGCUAGGAUGUUGGCUUGGAAGCAGCCAUUCAUUCAAAGAGUGCGUAACAGCUCACUAGUCGAGGGUCCGGGCAUGGAUAAUAAUCGGGUAUAAGGCAGACACCGAAGGCGCGGGAUAGCAAUUAUAAAAGUAUCGGUAGGGGAGCAUACUCACAGCGUCGAAUGGUGUACGUAAGUUAUCCUGGAGCGGUGAGUAAAGCAAAUGUAGGAAUAAGUAACGAUAAGGAGGGUUAGAUUCCCUCCCGCUGUAAGACCAAGGUUUCCCGGGCAAUGCCAAUCAGCCCGGGGUCAGUCGGGUCCUAAGUCUAAGCCGAACGGCGAUGGCGAUGGCAGAGACGGUUAAUAUUCCGUCACUGCCGCAUGGGGCGACGUGGAGACGGAGCAGUGAAACCACCGCGGGGCGACGGAAGUCCCCGUUGAAGAGUGUAGGUGUUGAGGAUGGCAGGCAAAUCCACCAUCCGAGCUGAACUUGACAGUAUGGAGUCUUCUCCGGAAGAAUCCAAUAGUGUGGGUAAUCAUACUCCCGAGAAAAUCCGCUAAGCUUAACCCAUGCGGCACCCGUACCGCAAACGGACACACGUGGUCGGGUAGAACAUA
Molecule: ribosomal RNA, 1003 nt
Filed under: Segatella copri
Lineage: Bacteria; Pseudomonadati; Bacteroidota; Bacteroidia; Bacteroidales; Prevotellaceae
Description: partial 23S ribosomal RNA
Rfam family: Bacterial large subunit ribosomal RNA
Source: RNAcentral